GAUGAACGCUGGCGGCGUGCCUAAUACAUGCAAGUCGAGCGAACGGACGAGAAGCUUGCUUCUCUGAUGUUAGCGGCGGACGGGUGAGUAACACGUGGAUAACCUACCUAUAAGACUGGGAUAACUUCGGGAAACCGUAGCUAAUACCGGAUAAUAUUUUGAACCGCAUGGUUCAAAAGUGAAAGACGGUCUUGCUGUCACUUAUAGAUGGAUCCGCGCUGCAUUAGCUAGUUGGUAAGGUAACGGCUUACCAAGGCAACGAUGCAUAGCCGACCUGAGUGGGUGAUCGGCCACACUGGAACUGAGACACGGUCCAGACUCCUACGGGAGGCAGCAGUAGGGAAUCUUCCGCAAUGGGCGAAAGCCUGACGGAGCAACGCCGCGUGAGUGAUGAAGGUCUUCGGAUCGUAAAACUCUGUUAUUAGGGAAGAACAUAUGUGUAAGUAACUGUGCACAUCUUGACGGUACCUAAUCAGAAAGCCACGGCUAACUACGUG
RNAcentral lists this ribosomal RNA (497 nucleotides) under uncultured bacterium. Its description in RNAcentral is "partial 16S ribosomal RNA". It matches the Rfam family "Bacterial small subunit ribosomal RNA", at positions 28 to 507 of the family's 1533-position model. The record is from RNAcentral.